This 468-nucleotide ribosomal RNA is filed under the name uncultured bacterium. Its description in RNAcentral is "partial 16S ribosomal RNA". It matches the Rfam family "Bacterial small subunit ribosomal RNA", at positions 28 to 507 of the family's 1533-position model. The record is from RNAcentral.
GACGAACGCUGGCGGCGUGCUUAACACAUGCAAGUCGAACGGAAAGGCCCUGCUUUUGUGGGGUGCUCGAGUGGCGAGCGGGUGAGUAACACGUGAGUAACCUGCCCUUGACUUUGGGAUAACUUCAGGAAACUGGGGCUAAUACCGGAUAGGAGCUCCUGCUGCAUGGUGGGGGUUGGAAAGUUUCGGCGGUUGGGGAUGGACUCGCGGCUUAUCAGCUUGUUGGUGGGGUAGUGGCUUACCAAGGCUUUGACGGGUAGCCGGCCUGAGAGGGUGACCGGCCACAUUGGGACUGAGAUACGGCCCAGACUCCUACGGGAGGCAGCAGUGGGGAAUAUUGCACAAUGGGCGGAAGCCUGAUGCAGCAACGCCGCGUGCGGGAUGACGGCCUUCGGGUUGUAAACCGCUUUCGCCUGUGACGAAGCGGGAGUGACGGUAAUGGGUAAAGAAGCACCGGCUAACUACGUG